CGCGUGACGAUGAGUAUUUCGGUACGUAAAGUUCUUUUAUUAGGGAAGAAUAAAUGAUGGAAAAAUCAUUCUGACGGUACCUAAUGAAUAAGCCCCGGCUAACUAUGUGCCAGCAGCCGCGGUAAUACAUAGGGGGCAAGCGUUAUCCGGAAUUAUUGGGCGUAAAGGGUGCGUAGGCGGUUAAAUAAGUUUAUGGUCUAAGUGCAAUGCUCAACAUUGUGAUGCUAUAAAAACUGUUUAGCUAGAGUAAGAUAGAGGCAAGUGGAAUUCCAUGUGUAGUGGUAAAAUGCGUAAAUAUAUGGAGGAACACCAGUAGCGAAGGCGGCUUGCUGGGUCUUUACUGACGCUGAGGCACGAAAGCGUGGGGAGCAAACAGGAUUAGAUACCCUGGUAGUCCACGCCGUAAACGAUGAGUACUAAACGUUGGGUAAAACCAGUGUUGAAGUUAACACAUUAAGUACUCCGCCUGAGUAGUACGUACGCAAGUAUGAAACUUAAAGGAAUUGACGGGACUCCGCACAAGCGGUGGAUCAUGUUGUUUAAUUCGAAGGUACCCGAAAAACCUCACCAGGUCUUGACAUGCUUCUGCAAAGCUGUAGAAACACAGUGGAGGUUAUCAGUUGCACAGGUGGUGCAUGGUUGUCGUCAGCUCGUGUCGUGAGAUGUUGGGUUAAGUCCCGCAACGAGCGCAACCCUUAUUGUUAGUUACCAGCACGUAAUGGUGGGGACUUUAGCAAGACUGCCAGUGAUAAAUUGGAGGAAGGUGGGGACGACGUCAAAUCAUCAUGCCCCUUAUGACCUG
Molecule: ribosomal RNA, 802 nt
Filed under: Candidatus Phytoplasma palmicola
Lineage: Bacteria; Bacillati; Mycoplasmatota; Mollicutes; Acholeplasmatales; Acholeplasmataceae
Also listed under: 4 other names
Description: bacterial SSU rRNA
Rfam family: Bacterial small subunit ribosomal RNA
Source: RNAcentral